UCCAUUUGCACUUAGGCUGAAUCUCAUUUCUCUGUCUUACCCCUUCCCCUUACCCCUUCCCCUUAGUUUUGCGCAUUCAUGUGAGAGUAAGGGCUAUCCCAAUUCUUAUUUUGAUCGAGGGGUAGGGCUAAGGGGAAGGGCUAGAUACCCCUUAAAACCAAGCAAAGACGAGAGCUUACUU
Molecule: long non-coding RNA, 181 nt
Organism: Sander lucioperca (pikeperch)
Lineage: Eukaryota; Metazoa; Chordata; Actinopteri; Perciformes; Percidae
Exons: 3
Source: RefSeq, a predicted model, not a curated record